CCUACGGGUGGCAGCAGUGAGGAAUAUUGGUCAAUGGCCGGAAGUCUGAACCAGCCAAGCCGCGUGAAGGACGACGGUUCCAAGCAUUGUAAACUUCUUUUGUCAAGGGACAAAAUCAGGCUCGAGAGCCUGACCGAGGGUACUUGAAGAAAAAGCAUCGGCUAACUCCGUGCCAGCAGCCGCGGUAAUACGGAGGAUGCGAGCGUUAUCCGGAUUUAUUGGGUUUAAAGGGUGCGUAGGCGGGCGGUUAAGUCAGCGGUAAAAGUCAGGGGCUCAACCCCGGCGAGCCGUUGAAACUGGUUGUCUUGAGAGGUGGAGAGGUAUGCGGAAUGCGCAGUGUAGCGGUGAAAGGCAUAGAUAUUACGCAGAACUCCGAUUGCGAAGGCAGCAUACCGGCGGCGAUCUGACGCUGAGGCACGAAAGCGUGGGUAUCGAACAGGAUUAGAUACCCUAGUAGUC
Molecule: ribosomal RNA, 459 nt
Filed under: uncultured bacterium
Lineage: Bacteria
Description: partial 16S ribosomal RNA
Rfam family: Bacterial small subunit ribosomal RNA
Source: RNAcentral